UCUGCAGUGAUGAGCCGUUAACACAUAAGAAGAAAUCUUAACAUUUGGUUUCUUUGAUGAAAUAUACCUCUUACGCUUGGCUUUUGAGCUUU
Ricinus communis (castor bean) is the source of this 92-nucleotide non-coding RNA. The record is from Rfam. NCBI's taxonomy places the organism in Eukaryota, Viridiplantae, Streptophyta, Magnoliopsida, Malpighiales, Euphorbiaceae.